GAUCCAGUGUGGGCUUCUUCACUGCUCCUGGGACAUCCCAGGCUCACUCCUGCCUCAGGGCCUUUGUACCAUAUUCCUUCUGCUUGGAACCCUCCUCAUAUCUCCCUUUGUCAUCUCCACCCAAUCUCUGCUCAAAUGUUACCUUGUCAGUGAGGCCUUGCCUGAUCAUCUUUCUGAAACUGCAACCCUCUACUCUGGGUCCCAUUACCUUCCUCUACUGAUCUUCCUUUUUUCCCAGAACAAUUUUAUCACUUGCACACUAUGUUUUAUAUUUCUUUUAUUUUCUCCCAAAUGGAAAUAUGGGCUGUGGUUUUGUUUUGUGCUUUAUGCCCAGUGCCUCAGAGAGUACUCAGAACUGGUGCUUAAAAAACAAAACAAAAAAAGGUCUUGAAUAAAUGGAUGAAUGGUAGGUGGUGCUAAAAUGAAGAGAUUAGUGGAGAUUAGAUGGUAAGCCAAACUCCGAAGUGCUGGAAGCAGUAGAUCCCAGGAAUAGAGAAGCGGAGAGGAAGAGAGCAGAAGUAGAAAAGGAGCAGAAAUACAGGCAGGGAGCAGCUGUGCUGCCUGGAUGGCAGCUGUCUACAUCAGGGACAAGUCCUCAAGUCACCGCAGCUGAUACCAGACCAUGGGACAAUGUGGUAUUCUGAAUGACAUUUCAGCCUCUCUGACUUUUGAGGUUUCUUAUCUCCCUUAGUUUCUUAUGUGUAUCAUGUUUGAUAGUGAAAAUGAUGUAUUAUUUUUCUCCAAAAUAAUUAAAAUAGGGAAUGAUUGCACUCACUGUUUAUGUUAUGACUGGAAUGUUAAAAAUCAAAGACAUAAAAAAAUGGAUUAACUUAAAGCAGAAGGAAUUUCAUGUUGUUGCAACUACUGUUACUUAAAAGCACACAUAACUCUCAUCAGAAUAUUUUUGAAAGAUUUGGCCUGUUAAUGCUAAGAGACACUUAUCCUAAAAAGACUGGAGAAAUGAUAGAAAGUCUGUCUAUAAGUUUGCCAUUUGCAGAGUGGAAUACAGUAGAAUAGCCAUGCUACUGCCUCCUAAUGGUGGGUGGAAGUAUCACAACAAUUUAUCCCAAAUGCCAUUGGUUUUUUUCUUUUCUUUUCUUUUUAAACAUAGGCAGAACAUCCAUUUUAAUUUAUGGCAAUUAACCCAUGUCUCAAAAAUCAGCGGAAACAUUGCUAUAAUAUUAGGUAAAUAAUACCUGCUAAUGAUUUGUAAAGUAAAUCAGUAACAAGGUUACUAAAUGGGAUUUUUUUUCAUUUCACCUUGAAUACAUAAUAUUCUAGAAAUCAAAGAGAGAAGCAAAAAUCUAGUAGCUAAUAUAGAAUAAGAACACAAACAACUUUCACAGUGGCCAUACCUAUGACAUUUUAGAAAUAUAAUAAGACACUU
This 1387-nucleotide long non-coding RNA is filed under the name Marmota monax (woodchuck). The record is from RNAcentral. Lineage: Eukaryota; Metazoa; Chordata; Mammalia; Rodentia; Sciuridae.